RNAcentral lists this ribosomal RNA (430 nucleotides) under Pseudomonadota bacterium. RNAcentral describes it as "Proteobacteria bacterium partial 16S ribosomal RNA". It matches the Rfam family "Bacterial small subunit ribosomal RNA", at positions 355 to 776 of the family's 1533-position model. The record is from RNAcentral. Lineage: Bacteria; Pseudomonadati; Pseudomonadota.
UGGGGAAUAUUGGACAAUGGGGGGAACCCUGAUCCAGCCAUGCCGCGUGUGUGAAGAAGGCCUUAUGGUUGUAAAGCACUUUAAGCGAGGAGGAGGGUACUGGUAUUAAUACGACCAGGUACUGGACGUUACUCGCAGAAUAAGCACCGGCUAACUCUGUGCCAGCAGCCGCGGUAAUACAGAGGGUGCGAGCGUUAAUCGGAUUUACUGGGCGUAAAGCGUGCGUAGGCGGCUAAUUGAGUCGGAUGUGAAAUCCCCGAGCUUAACUUGGGAAUUGCAUUCGAUACUGGUUAGCUAGAGUGUGGGAGAGGAUGGUAGAAUUCCAGGUGUAGCGGUGAAAUGCGUAGAGAUCUGGAGGAAUACCGAUGGCGAAGGCAGCCAUCUGGCCUAACACUGACGCUGAGGUACGAAAGCAUGGGGAGCAAACAGG